CUAAUGGGACUUGCCACCUAGUGAACCGAGCACCCGCUACUUCUUGCGUCGGUCGA
RNAcentral lists this ribosomal RNA (56 nucleotides) under Muscidifurax raptor. RNAcentral's name for it is "partial 5.8S ribosomal RNA". Lineage: Eukaryota; Metazoa; Arthropoda; Insecta; Hymenoptera; Pteromalidae. The record is from RNAcentral.